RNAcentral lists this long non-coding RNA (1527 nucleotides) under Monodelphis domestica (gray short-tailed opossum). RNAcentral describes it as "lncRNA (ENSMODG00000043527.1)". The record is from RNAcentral. Lineage: Eukaryota; Metazoa; Chordata; Mammalia; Didelphimorphia; Didelphidae.
UUUUCUGUUAGUGAUUUAUAAUGAUAUGUUAGUGUUAAUUAAGGUUUUUAUUUUUCUUUUAAAAAAAGUUUAGUGGCCAUAAUUGCCAUGGUUUACAUACAGUAUAUCAGAGCUUUGUAAUUUAGUUGUCAGUGAUGGAUCAGUGCCAUUGCCCUCCACUACUAUGUGUUUGGUGUCCUUCCAGGUCUUGGACCUGGAUGGCAUCUCUGAGUUUUCCUCUCGAAGCUGUUUUUCAUUGCUUUUGAUACAUGAUAUGUCUAAAGACUUGAUAAUUUAGCUGGCAAAAGUACAAAUGUGUUUUAACAUUGAAAUGCAGUGGGGUGGCCUUGGCAUUGAGAAGACACGAGUUCUAGUCUUGCCUCUGAUACAUACUAGUUUUGUAUGUAUGGAUCUGAGCAUAGGCAAGACAUUUCAUCUCUUAGUGCUCUAGGCAGAUCUCGGAUUCUGUAAGUAAGAGAAAAGUGGCUGAUGUGCAUCUGUGAAUGGAGAUUCCACAUGAAGUGUUCUUUUCUUUUCUUUUCUCUCCUUUUCUUUUUCCUUUCCUUUCCUUUCCUUUCCUUUCCUUUCCUUUCCUUUCCUUUCCUUUCCUUUCCUUUCCUUUUUCCUUUCCUUUCCUUUCCUUUCCUUUCCUUUCCUUUCCUUUCCUUUCCUUUCCUUUCCUUUUCUUUUCUUUUCUUUUCUUUUCUUUUCUUUUCUUUUCUUUUCUUUUCUUUUCUUUUCUUUUCUUUUCUUUUCUUUUCCUUUCUCUUCUUUUCUCUUCUCUUCUUUUCCUUUCUCUUCUCUUCUCUUCUUUUCUUUUCCUUUCUCUUCUUUUCCUUUUUUUAACUGUGCAUUUUCAGUGAAAACUGUUUGUAUUGCUUUUUUUGGAGCCCAAUGCAAAAAACAAGAUUCUCGCUUCAGUAAAAAUUAUUUAAUCUCGAUAGCAACCCUUGGAGGGUAGGAGCAUUGUAUAAUGGCGUAGCCAUUGCACUCGGUGGUAGAUGGUGUGUUAGCUUGAAUCUUUGUCCCUCUCCGUUUAUACUUUGCCACUUGACUGUACAUUCCUUCCAAUAUUAAAUUCUAGUUCUCUGACUCCAUGGGAACUCUUUGGAAUGCAUGUGGCUAGCAGUGUGAUUUAUAGCCCAACUUUUUCAAUAAUCUACUAAUCAAAUCACUUUUUUUGCUAAGCCCCAGGAACAUUUGGCCAAGGGAUCAUUUCCGUAUGCAGAAAGGCCACAGACACAGUUGCCGUGUCCCCAUUGUUGAGAUUGCAAUAUCCUCUACACUUGUUCUACUCAAAUUUUAUUUUUAACAAUGCCUCUUGUAAAUGCAAUAACAUACUCGGGGGAAAUUCACCACAUUGAAUGGAGCUGCUUUUUGAAGCAUGGACUGGGACUUGGGAAGGGCAAUGCAUUAUUCUCCGAGCUGGCAUGUCAACCCACCGAGGCACACUGCAGAGACCAAUGAUAAUGCUUGAUGGAAACUGAUGAAUGCUUGGCACAGGGUCAAAAAGUGUUUGGGGAUUAAUAAACAUGUACAGAGACGCCA